Non-coding RNA from Prunus avium (sweet cherry), 405 nucleotides. The record is from RefSeq and is a predicted model, not a curated record. Lineage: Eukaryota; Viridiplantae; Streptophyta; Magnoliopsida; Rosales; Rosaceae.
CCGAGGAAGCAAGUUUGAAGCUUUUGGAAAUUGUAAUGCUGUAGAAGCUUCAAUUUUGAUUUUUAUGCCCAACCCUGCUGAGUGAAACGAAGAUGCCACAGCUUAGCUUAGGCUGGCUAUCUUGAAGUUCAGAUUACUGAAGAUUUAUCAUUGGAGUUGUUUGUUCAGCUGGCCCUCUUAGCGUGCCCCUGUUGAAGAUCAAAGCCUGCCUUGCAGGUUUUGCUGGUUGCAUACCUGUGUGUUAAACUCCCAAUGAAAAUAUAUGAAUUUGAGCGAGAAGCCUUCACCAAGGAUACGAUUUUGUUGAAAUCUGUAAUGAGAAAGAUUCUGAUUAUGGAAUCAAUAAUGGUCCUUUUCUCAAGUUACUCUAGCUCCCUUUUCCUUGUUAAAGUUUUCUACUUCCAA